CGGACGGGUGAGUAAUGUCUGGGAAACUGCCCGAUGGAGGGGGAUAACUACUGGAAACGGUAGCUAAUACCGCAUAAUGUCGCAAGACCAAAGAGGGGGACCUUCGGGCCUCUUGCCAUCGGAUGUGCCCAGAUGGGAUUAGCUAGUAGGUGGGGUAACGGCUCACCUAGGCGACGAUCCCUAGCUGGUCUGAGAGGAUGACCAGCCACACUGGAACUGAGACACGGUCCAG
Molecule: ribosomal RNA, 232 nt
Filed under: uncultured bacterium
Lineage: Bacteria
Description: partial 16S ribosomal RNA
Rfam family: Bacterial small subunit ribosomal RNA
Source: RNAcentral